AAUAGAUACCCGGGUAGUCCACGCCGUAAACGAUGAGUGCUAAGUGUUAGAGGGUUUCCGCCCUUUAGUGCUGCAGCUAACGCAUUAAGCACUCCGCCUGGGGAGUACGGCCGCAAGGCUGAAACUCAAAGGAAUUGACGGGGGCCCGCACAAGCGGUGGAGCAUGUGGUUUAAUUCGAAGCAACGCGAAGAACCUUACCAGGUCUUGACAUCCUCUGACAACCCUAGAGAUAGGGCUUUCCCCUUCGGGGGACAGAGUGACAGGUGGUGCAUGGUUGUCGUCAGCUCGUGUCGUAAGAUGUUGGGUUAAGUCCCGCAACGAGCGCAACCCUUGAUCUUAGUUGCCAGCAUUCAGUUGGGCACUCUAAGGUGACUGCCGGUGACAAACCGGAGGAAGGUGGGGAUGACGUCAAAUCAUCAUGCCCCUUAUGACCUGGGCUACACACGUGCUACAAUGGAUGGUACAAAGGGCUGCAAACCUGCGAAGGUAAGCGAAUCCCAUAAAGCCAUUCUCAGUUCGGAUUGCAGG
Molecule: ribosomal RNA, 529 nt
Filed under: uncultured bacterium
Lineage: Bacteria
Description: bacterial SSU rRNA
Rfam family: Bacterial small subunit ribosomal RNA
Source: RNAcentral